UACAUUUCUCCUCUUUGCAUAGGGAGACUGCUGCUGCUCUGUGUUUUCCAUGGUAGACAAGAAGCUAAAGUAUAACAAGAAGUCUGAAAAUGCAAAUAACUUCCACUCAUUGAC
This is a long non-coding RNA of Gavialis gangeticus (Gharial), 114 nucleotides long. RefSeq lists it as uncharacterized. Lineage: Eukaryota; Metazoa; Chordata; Crocodylia; Gavialidae. The record is from RefSeq and is a predicted model, not a curated record. The transcript is spliced from 3 exons.